AUACGUAGGGUGCAAGCGUUAAUCGGAAUUACUGGGCGUAAAGCGUGCGCAGGCGGGCGAUUAAGUCAGCGGUGAAAGGCUCGGGCUCAACCGGAGCAGUGCCGUUGAUACUGGUUGUCUUGAAUGCGGUCAAGGCCGGCGGAAUGUGGCGUGUAGCGGUGAAAUGCAUAGAUAUGCCACAGAACACCGAUAGCGAAGGCAGCUGGCCGGGCCUGCAUUGACGCUGAGGCACGAAAGCGUGGGGAUCGAACAGGAUUAGAUACCCUGGUAGUCCACGCUGUAAACGAUGGACACUCGUUGUCGGCGACAGACAGUCGGCGGCCAAGCGAAAGUGAUAAGUGUCCCACCUGGGGAGUACGGUCGCAAGGCUGAAACUUAAAGGAAUUGGCGGGG
RNAcentral lists this ribosomal RNA (393 nucleotides) under uncultured bacterium. RNAcentral's name for it is "partial 16S ribosomal RNA". It matches the Rfam family "Bacterial small subunit ribosomal RNA", at positions 523 to 918 of the family's 1533-position model. The record is from RNAcentral.